This is a non-coding RNA of Nothobranchius furzeri (turquoise killifish), 827 nucleotides long. The record is from RefSeq and is a predicted model, not a curated record. NCBI's taxonomy places the organism in Eukaryota, Metazoa, Chordata, Actinopteri, Cyprinodontiformes, Nothobranchiidae.
UCGUUAAAACCUCAAACAGAAGAGGAAGAACCCUGGAAAUGGAUUCUACAACUAGCAAACGACCAAGCGCAACUCAAAGCCCACUAAAGUGGCACAAAGGAGAAGGUUUUAUCAGCGGCAUCUCGAGAGUCAAAAAGAAAAUUUAAAAGUCGGUCAGGGACCCGAAUAUCUAUUGGUUACGCUCUGGAAGAAUGAGGCUGGUUCAAUUCAAUUUGGGCUGCCACCUGAAAAGGAUGCAGACAUGGCUCAUUUUCUAGUGACCAGCUACCGGAAGAAGCAGGCUCCUGAAACUGCAAUUCAGGGAGGUAAUGUGCAGUCAACCUCGACACCCAGUAAGAGAACAGCAGCUAAAAUGUUGCAUCGAUUAUCUCCAACUGAACCUGUGUCUGAGGGGGAAGAUUUUCUAAUGGCUGGUGUUGAGGCCUUAGCUGAUGACCAAGAUUUGGAUCCUUUUGAAGAAAGGCUGGGAUCCUAAAGGGAAUUUCCAUCCUACUUGUGUGGCUGAAGGACAUCUUCAACCAAUUUUGGUACAUUUGCCAGAAAGCACAACAUCGUGAUAUGUUUAAUGACAUGUGGGUGGGUGUGCUUCACCAUGUCACAGGGAAGCAUGAAUGGACCCGUGGCAAAUGUGACCAUGGACCACUUGAUGCAACGACCAGUGAUAAAGAGCUCAUGGUGCCAUGAUCUCCACCACACGAGGCUCUUCAACGAAUCAUGUUCAACAGACGCUGGUUGAAGGAUGUCACCAAUCUGACCUUUAGGCCCCAGCUACGUGAAGCAUCAAAAGACAGGAAUGACUUCUUUCAUGCACACAGAUUUAUUAGAAA